GUAAGUGUAUAUUUGCAAAUAUAUGUAUUGCGUGUCAAAUAUUUACUAAUAUAUAAAUGUAAAUUGUUAAUAGGAUUUUUCAAAAUUCAAUGUAUGGACUACCGUCAAAUGAGUUUGACCGUUUGUGCGAUGAACAAUUUGCAGCAUGGUUCAAAACAUAUGUUCACAGUAAUCAUAAUCAAGUUGAAGAGCAAGGAUUGUUAUAUUAUCUGUCAUGGGGUCCACAGUCAAGCAUACGAACUUGGCCAGCAUAUUUCAUAAACGGCACAAAGAAAAAUCGAGGAACACUGGAAGGAUACAGCAUAUCAACAAGAGGAAGUUUGUAACGUGGUUCAAACUGAGGAAUAUAAUAUUCCUACUCUACGAGAUCUAUGUGGAGUAAUGAUAGAUGUAGAUCUAACUGAAAUUCGCGAAUCAAAUUUAGAAGGUGUUGCAGAAUCUGAUUUUGAGACAAAUGAUGAUAAGGAUGAUGAGGAUGAUGAUGAUGAUGAUGAUGACGAUGAUGCUCAAGAAGAAGAUCAAGAUCAAGAUCAAGAUCAA
Molecule: long non-coding RNA, 540 nt
Organism: Syzygium oleosum
Lineage: Eukaryota; Viridiplantae; Streptophyta; Magnoliopsida; Myrtales; Myrtaceae
Exons: 3
Source: RefSeq, a predicted model, not a curated record